GUGCUAACCUUGCACUUACAUCCACUCCCCAAGAUCCUACUUGGAAAUUUCAAUCCACUAUCCUUUGUAUUCAACCCGAAUACAAAACGUCGGAAACUCCGAUACUAGCUAUCCCAAGCUAGAUCACUUGUUUCCCGGGUACAAGUAAACCCAAAACACUCCGAUUUUAGGUUCGGAUCAACCUUUCCUUGUUUUGGAAAUCCUCCAAACACAAGAACAAAAACUCACAAAGAGUAAGAAUAUUUAGAGCAUAGAUGAAUACAAUAACAGCUCCUUAAAUGAGCAAAUAUAACAAUAAAAACUUUACUCAAAUGAAGAACCCCUUUUUCAGAUUUUCUCAAAGUGGAUGAACGCUUGAAUGCUUGAGAAGAGGUUGAUUGUUGAUUGAAGAUCUCUUGAAAGCUUUGAACGAUCUCUAGAUCAAGGUUGAACAAUAGGCUUGAAAGAUUCUCUCCUUGAAAGCUCUUGCUUUUCUCUUUCACAAUCUCUCUGGUAUAUUGUGGAUCCUCUCUCUUUUUCUUUUGGAUUUUUCGUUGAUCUCAGGCUUUUUCGUGCAGAUUUCGGAUCCUCUCUUCUGUUCUUCUCAU
RNAcentral lists this long non-coding RNA (587 nucleotides) under Elaeis guineensis (African oil palm). Its description in RNAcentral is "long non-coding RNA (EGUI_LNC045063)". Lineage: Eukaryota; Viridiplantae; Streptophyta; Magnoliopsida; Arecales; Arecaceae. The record is from RNAcentral.